UGGAUAACUUCAGGAAACUGGGGCUAAUACCGGAUAGGAGCUCCUGCUGCAUGGUGGGGGUUGGAAAGUUUCGGCGGUUGGGGAUGGACUCGCGGCUUAUCAGCUUGUUGGUGGGGUAGUGGCUUACCAAGGCUUUGACGGGUAGCCGGCCUGAGAGGGUGACCGGCCACAUUGGGACUGAGAUACGGCCCAG
This 193-nucleotide ribosomal RNA is filed under the name uncultured Actinomycetales bacterium. RNAcentral's name for it is "partial 16S ribosomal RNA". It matches the Rfam family "Bacterial small subunit ribosomal RNA", at positions 140 to 334 of the family's 1533-position model. The record is from RNAcentral. Lineage: Bacteria; Bacillati; Actinomycetota; Actinomycetes; Actinomycetales.